This 440-nucleotide ribosomal RNA is filed under the name uncultured bacterium. RNAcentral describes it as "partial 16S ribosomal RNA". It matches the Rfam family "Bacterial small subunit ribosomal RNA", at positions 338 to 795 of the family's 1533-position model. The record is from RNAcentral.
CCUACGGGUGGCAGCAGUGGGGGAUUUUGCACAAUGGGGGGAACCCUGAUGCAGCGACGCCGCGUGAGCGAUGGAGUACUUCGGUAUGUAAAGCUCUGUCAGCAGGGAAGAAAAUGACGGUACCUGACCAAGAAGCCCCGGCGAAAUACGUGCCAGCAGCCGCGGUCAUACGUAUGGGGCAAUCGUUAUCCGGAUUUACUGGGUGUAAAGGGAGCGUAGGCGGCAGGGCAAGCCGGAUGUGAAAGUCCGGGGCGCAACCCCGGGACUGCAUUGGUAACUGCGCUGCUGGAGUGCCGGAGGGGGAGGCGGAAUUCCUAGUGUAGCGGUGAAAUGCGUAGAUAUUAGGAGGAACACCAGUGGCGAAGGCGGCCUGCUGGACGGUGACUGACGCUGAGGCUCGAAGGCGUGGGGAGCAAACGGGAUUAGAUACCCGAGUAGUC